This 253-nucleotide ribosomal RNA is filed under the name uncultured bacterium. RNAcentral describes it as "partial 16S ribosomal RNA". It matches the Rfam family "Bacterial small subunit ribosomal RNA", at positions 524 to 776 of the family's 1533-position model. The record is from RNAcentral.
UACAGAGGCCUCAAGCGUUGUUCGGAUUCAUUGGGCGUAAAGGGUGCGUAGGCGGCGCGGUAAGUCGGGUGUGAAAUCUUGGAGCUUAACUUCGAAACUGCAUUCGAUACUGCCGUGCUUGAGGACUGGAGAGGAGACUGGAAUUUACGGUGUAGCGGUGAAAUGCGUAGAUAUCGUAAGGAAGACCAGUGGCGAAGGCGGGUCUCUGGACAGUUCCUGACGCUGAGGCACGAAGGCCAGGGGAGCAAACGGG